Molecule: unclassified non-coding RNA, 239 nt
Filed under: Bradyrhizobium erythrophlei
Lineage: Bacteria; Pseudomonadati; Pseudomonadota; Alphaproteobacteria; Hyphomicrobiales; Nitrobacteraceae
Source: RNAcentral
GAAGUCCCCCACGGAGAAGGUCUAGCCAACGCCCCGACCCCGAGUGAUGCGCGGCGUCCCGCGAGGGCCGACGUGAAGCGUUCACAGGGGAGACCACGGGCCAAGUAUUGAGCUGCGAAACGGGUCUAAUUCCGAGGUGCCGAUCUUAACCGCCUCGCACCUGUCCGACCAAGAUAUGGCUGACUAAAGUCGGAGGCGUCAGUUCGGUUUGCGACUCUCGCAUUGGAGUUUUUUGAUAA